Molecule: ribosomal RNA, 344 nt
Filed under: uncultured bacterium
Lineage: Bacteria
Description: bacterial SSU rRNA
Rfam family: Bacterial small subunit ribosomal RNA
Source: RNAcentral
AGAGUUUGAUCAUGGCUCAGGAUGAACGCUGGCGGCGUGCUUAACACAUGCAAGUCGAGCGAAGCGAUGAAGAGGAAGUUUUCGGAUGGAAUCUUGAUUGACUGAGCGGCGGACGGGUGAGUAACGCGUGGGUAACCUGCCUUACACAGGGGGAUAACAGUUAGAAAUGGCUGCUAAUACCGCAUAAGCAUACAGCACCGCAUGGUGCAGUGUGAAAAACUCUGGUGGUGUAAGAUGGACCCGCGUCUGAUUAGGUAGUUGGUAGGGUAACGGCCUACCAAGCCGACGAUCAGUAGCCGACCUGAGAGGGUGACCGGCCACAUUGGGACUGAGACACGGCCCAA